UACGUAUGGUGCAAGCGUUAUCCGGAUUUACUGGGUGUAAAGGGAGCGUAGACGGAGUGGCAAGUCUGAUGUGAAAACCCGGGGCUCAACCCCGGGACUGCAUUGGAAACUGUCAAUCUAGAGUACCGGAGAGGUAAGCGGAAUUCCUAGUGUAGCGGUGAAAUGCGUAGAUAUUAGGAGGAACACCAGUGGCGAAGGCGGCUUACUGGACGGUAACUGACGUUGAGACUCGAAAGCGUGGGGAGCAAACAGG
This 253-nucleotide ribosomal RNA is filed under the name Mediterraneibacter faecis JCM 15917. RNAcentral describes it as "[Ruminococcus] faecis JCM 15917 partial 16S ribosomal RNA". It matches the Rfam family "Bacterial small subunit ribosomal RNA", at positions 524 to 776 of the family's 1533-position model. The record is from RNAcentral. Lineage: Bacteria; Bacillati; Bacillota; Clostridia; Lachnospirales; Lachnospiraceae.